CAGGACGAACGCUGGCGGCGUGCUUAACACAUGCAAGUCGAGCGAUGAAGCUCUUCGGAAGUGGAUUAGCGGCGGACGGGUGAGUAACACGUGGGUAACCUGCCUCAUAGAGGGGAAUAGCCUUCCGAAAGGAAGAUUAAUACCGCAUAAGAUUGUAAUAUCGCAUGAUAUAGCAAUUAAAGGAGUAAUCCGCUAUGAGAUGGACCCGCGUCGCAUUAGCUAGUUGGUGAGGUAACGGCUCACCAAGGCGACGAUGCGUAGCCGACCUGAGAGGGUGAUCGGCCACAUUGGGACUGAGACACGGCCCAGACUCCUACGGGAGGCAGCAGUGGGGAAUAUUGCACAAUGGGGGAAACCCUGAUGCAGCAAACCGCCGCGUGAGUGAUGACGGUCUUCGGAUUGUAAAGCUCUGCCUUCAGGGACGAUAAUGACGGUACCUGAGGAGGAAGCCACGGCUAACUACGUGCCAGCAGCAGC
RNAcentral lists this ribosomal RNA (477 nucleotides) under uncultured bacterium. RNAcentral describes it as "bacterial SSU rRNA". It matches the Rfam family "Bacterial small subunit ribosomal RNA", at positions 25 to 518 of the family's 1533-position model. The record is from RNAcentral.